Cucurbita maxima (winter squash) is the source of this 719-nucleotide long non-coding RNA. RefSeq lists it as uncharacterized. The record is from RefSeq and is a predicted model, not a curated record. The transcript is spliced from 4 exons. NCBI's taxonomy places the organism in Eukaryota, Viridiplantae, Streptophyta, Magnoliopsida, Cucurbitales, Cucurbitaceae.
UGAACAACUCUAUCUCUGGGAGACAAGUUAGCUUGCUCCAAUACCUUGUUCUGAAGCUCUUGUGGGUAAUCUCUCAUGCAACCAAUGCGAGCUGUUUCGUAGCCAUCGUCGGAGGGAGAAUCUGGAAUGAGAGCUCUACAACUAGCUGGAAGUGUUUCCUUCUUGAAUAUGUCAAACACAUUGCUUCUUUCUGGUAUUUGAAGAAAUGGAGGGGCUUACCGGACCAAGGUAUUUGAUGCAUUGUUGAUGAAGCCUAUGUCUGGGACAUCUCUCAAGCCUAGGUGGGAAGAAACACAUGAGAUGCAUCUCAUCUUGUCAUUGUGAUCCUCAACAACACGGCCCACACUUUGUGAUGUCAUCAUAAGUCUAGGGAUGUUAUCGACCUUCGUUGCUCGUGUAGACACACUUGUCGAGAAUUGACCCAUGAAUCAAUUUUAUUGUCCAACACCUCAUACAUGAGGCAUUGUACCACUGAUUACUCAUUCCUAUGCUGACCAGGAAGUUCUAAAGCUAAAGUCUUUUAAUUGAUUGUUUCCACUAAUGUUCAACUGAUCUUUCUUUCUUACUCAGAAACAUCCAAGAUUAUAGAUUGAUGUUAUGCUAUAUCUAUCCAGGGAGUUUUCUACCUUUGAAGAACAAGGUACGUGGUCUUUAAUUCUUGAGAAUAUCUGUAUGGUCUCAAACAAUCCUCUUAUGCAUGGUAACUCCUCAUCUACUAA